This 1107-nucleotide ribosomal RNA is filed under the name Lactobacillus sp. L314(LBF2)H05. RNAcentral describes it as "bacterial SSU rRNA". It matches the Rfam family "Bacterial small subunit ribosomal RNA", at positions 39 to 1105 of the family's 1533-position model. The record is from RNAcentral. Lineage: Bacteria; Bacillati; Bacillota; Bacilli; Lactobacillales; Lactobacillaceae.
GUGGCGGCUGCUAUACUGCAGUCGAACGAACUCUGGUAUUGAUUGGUGCUUGCAUCAUGAUUUACAUUUGAGUGAGUGGCGAACUGGUGAGUAACACGUGGGAAACCUGCCCAGAAGCGGGGGAUAACACCUGGAAACAGAUGCUAAUACCGCAUAACAACUUGGACCGCAUGGUCCGAGUUUGAAAGAUGGCUUCGGCUAUCACUUUUGGAUGGUCCCGCGGCGUAUUAGCUAGAUGGUGGGGUAACGGCUCACCAUGGCAAUGAUACGUAGCCGACCUGAGAGGGUAAUCGGCCACAUUGGGACUGAGACACGGCCCAAACUCCUACGGGAGGCAGCAGUAGGGAAUCUUCCACAAUGGACGAAAGUCUGAUGGAGCAACGCCGCGUGAGUGAAGAAGGGUUUCGGCUCGUAAAACUCUGUUGUUAAAGAAGAACAUAUCUGAGAGUAACUGUUCAGGUAUUGACGGUAUUUAACCAGAAAGCCACGGCUAACUACGUGCCAGCAGCCGCGGUAAUACGUAGGUGGCAAGCGUUGUCCGGAUUUAUUGGGCGUAAAGCGAGCGCAGGCGGUUUUUUAAGUCUGAUGUGAAAGCCUUCGGCUCAACCGAAGAAGUGCAUCGGAAACUGGGAAACUUGAGUGCAGAAGAGGACAGUGGAACUCCAUGUGUAGCGGUGAAAUGCGUAGAUAUAUGGAAGAACACCAGUGGCGAAGGCGGCUGUCUGGUCUGUAACUGACGCUGAGGCUCGAAAGUAUGGGUAGCAAACAGGAUUAGAUACCCUGGUAGUCCAUACCGUAAACGAUGAAUGCUAAGUGUUGGAGGGUUUCCGCCCUUCAGUGCUGCAGCUAACGCAUUAAGCAUUCCGCCUGGGGAGUACGGCCGCAAGGCUGAAACUCAAAGGAAUUGACGGGGGCCCGCACAAGCGGUGGAGCAUGUGGUUUAAUUCGAAGCUACGCGAAGAACCUUACCAGGUCUUGACAUACUAUGCAAAUCUAAGAGAUUAGACGUUUCCCUUCGGGGGACAUGGGAUACAGGGUGGUGCAUGGAUUGUCGUCAGCUUCGUUGUCGUGAGAUGGUUGGAUUAGUCCGCACCGAAGCGCAAACCC